This is a non-coding RNA of Myotis davidii, 75 nucleotides long. The record is from Rfam. NCBI's taxonomy places the organism in Eukaryota, Metazoa, Chordata, Mammalia, Chiroptera, Vespertilionidae.
GGUGGUUCUCGGGUGACAUACCCUGGAAUUGGACUCCCUCCUCUCUGGUUCUGAGUAUGUCACCCCAGAACCGCA